This 253-nucleotide ribosomal RNA is filed under the name uncultured bacterium. RNAcentral describes it as "partial 16S ribosomal RNA". It matches the Rfam family "Bacterial small subunit ribosomal RNA", at positions 524 to 776 of the family's 1533-position model. The record is from RNAcentral.
UACAGAGGUCUCAAGCGUUGUUCGGAUUCAUUGGGCGUAAAGGGUGCGUAGGUGGUGGGGUAAGUCGGAUGUGAAAUCCCGGGGCUCAACCCCGGAACUGCAUUCGAUACUGCCUUGCUCGAGUACUGGAGAGGAGACUGGAAUUUACGGUGUAGCAGUGAAAUGCGUAGAUAUCGUAAGGAAGACCAGUGGCGAAGGCGGUCUGCUGGGCAGUUUCUGACACUGAUGCGCGACAGCGUGGGGAGCAAACAGG